UUCCGGUUGAUCCUGCCGGAGGCUACCGCUAUUGGAGUUCGAUUAAGCCAUGCGAGUCGCGAGUCUUAGGGACUCGGCGUACCGCUCAGUAACACGUGGGUAACCUGCCCUAUGCUGGGGGAUAACCUCGGGAAACUGAGAAUAAUACCCCAUAGUUCACCAUGCCUGGAACGGUGGGUGGACCAAAGCUCCGGCGGCAUAGGAUGGGCCUGCGGCGUAUCAGGUUGUAGGGGGUGUAAUGUACCCUCUAGCCCUCUACGCGUACGGGUGUUGAGAGACAUCGCCCGGAGAUGGAUUCUGAGACACGAAUCCAGACCCUACGGGGUGCAGCAGGCGCGAAAACUUGGCAAUGCGAGAAAUCGUGACCAGGGAACUCCAAGUGCAUCGGGUAAGACCGAUGCUUUUCUUGACUCUUCAAAGGUCUUGGAAUAAGGGGUGGGUAAGGACGGUGCCAGCCGCCGCGGUAAUACCGGCGCCCCAAGUGGUAGUCGCUUUUAUUGGGCCUAAAACGUCCGUAGCCGGUCUGGUACAUUCGUGGGUAAAUCAACCAGCUCAACUGGUUGAAUUCUGCGAGCACGGCCAGACUUGGGACCGGGAGAGGUGUGGGGUACUCUCAGGGUAGGGGUAAAAUCCUGUCAUCCUGAGAGGACCACCUGUUGCGAAGGCGCCACACUAGAACGGAUCCGACGGUCAGGGACGAAGCCUAGGGGCACGAACCGGAUUAGAUACCCGGGUAGUCCUAGGUGUAAACGCUGUGGACUUGAUGUUGGGGGCGCUCCGAGCGCACUCAGUGUCGAAGCGAAAGUGAUAAGUCCACUGCCUGGGGAGUACGGUCGCAAGGCUGAAACUUAAAGGAAUUGGCGGGGGAGCACCGCAACCUGAGGAUUGUGCGGUUUAAUUGGAUUCAACGCCGGA
This 915-nucleotide ribosomal RNA is filed under the name uncultured archaeon. RNAcentral's name for it is "bacterial SSU rRNA". It matches the Rfam family "Archaeal small subunit ribosomal RNA", at positions 1 to 922 of the family's 1478-position model. The record is from RNAcentral.